RNAcentral lists this ribosomal RNA (610 nucleotides) under uncultured bacterium. RNAcentral's name for it is "bacterial SSU rRNA". It matches the Rfam family "Bacterial small subunit ribosomal RNA", at positions 51 to 653 of the family's 1533-position model. The record is from RNAcentral.
ACACAUGCCAGUCUUNCGGCAGCACGGACUUCGGUCUGGUGGCGAGUGGCGAACGGGUGAGUAAUAUAUCGGAACAUACCCAGUAGUGGGGGAUAACUAUCCGAAAGGAUAGCUAAUACCGCAUACGAUCUGUGAAUGAAAGCAUGGGAUCUUCGGACCUUGUGCUAUUGGAAUGGCCGAUAUCUGAUUAGCUAGUUGGUAGGGUAAAAGCCUACCAAGGCGACGAUCAGUAGCUGGUCUGAGAGGACGACCAGCCACACUGGAACUGAGACNCGGUCCAGACUCCUACGGGAGGCAGCAGUGGGGAAUUUUGGACAAUGGGGGCAACCCUGAUCCAGCAAUGCCGCGUGAGUGAAGAAGGCCCUCGGGUUGUAAAGCUCUUUUGUCAGGGAAGAAACGGAGUUCUCUAAUAUAGGAUUCUAAUGACGGUACCUGAAGAAUAAGCACCGGCUAACUACGUGCCAGGCAGCCGCGGUAAUACGUAGGGUGCAAGCGUUAAUCGGAAUUACUGGGCGUAAAGCGUGCGCAGGCGGUUUUGUAAGUCUGAUGUGAAAUCCCCCGGGCCUCAACCUGGGAACUGCAUUGGAGACUGCAAGGCUAGAGUGUGUCA